UUUAAUUGAUGAGUUUGAUCAUGGCUCAGAUUGAACGCAGGCGGUAGGUCUACCACAUGAAAGACGAGAGGCAGCACAGAGAAAAUUGAUUCUCAGGCGGCGAGCGGCGGACGGGUGAGAAACGCCAGGCAAAAUGCCCUGGUGGGGGAGAUCAGCAUUGGAA
Molecule: ribosomal RNA, 163 nt
Filed under: Vibrio vulnificus
Lineage: Bacteria; Pseudomonadati; Pseudomonadota; Gammaproteobacteria; Vibrionales; Vibrionaceae
Description: partial 16S ribosomal RNA
Rfam family: Bacterial small subunit ribosomal RNA
Source: RNAcentral